GCGAGUGUUUUGAGAAGAUGGAUGAAUGCGGGUACCGAGAUUAGCUCUCUGGAAGAGCUAUUUCUCUGGCAGACGUGCGUGUGCUGUUGGGCGGUGUGAAUUUGUGAGCGUAAAUGUUGUUCGUGGCUGCCCGCAGGGAUCUAUCUGUGGCCCAUUCAUUUGGAACCUCAUGAUGGACCCCUUGCUGGUGCAGCUUGAGCAGAUUAUAAAUGUUGUGCGUAUGCGGACGAUCUGCUCAUCUUGAUUGAGGGUCGGUCGCGUCUUGAGAUCGAGACGAAUGCGGGUAUGUGCUUGCGCACUGUGUAUGAGUGGGGUGAAAGUGUUGGGGUCAGUCUUGCAAUGGACAAGACAGUGUCAAUGCUGCUCAAGGGCAGAUUGGCAGCUAGUCGGCCACCCAUUGUCAGACUGAAUGGAGUGAAUGUGAGGUAUGCGUCUGAGGUGAAAUACCUCGGCAUAACCUUCGGCGAGAGGAUGUGUUUCACUCCUCAUAUCGCUGUCUCAAGGCCCGGCUACUUGGUUUGGUGGGGCAAGUGCGUCGUAUUUUGAGGUCUGACUGGGGCCUAAACAGACGUGCUCUCCGCACCAUCUAUGAGAGUCUGUUUGUUGCAUGUGCAGCAUAUGGAUCGUUUGUAUGGUGCAAGGCGGUCACGACUGUGGUCGGCAGAAAGAAAGUGCUGGCUUGCCAGAGAGUGCUUCUGUUGGGUUGUCUGCCUGUGUGCCGCACUGUCUCUACGGAGGCAAUGCAGGUACUGUUAGGAGUAGCCCCUCUUGACUUGGAGAUCAGGCAUCGAGCCUUGAUGUACAGGAUCAAGAGGCGGCUGCCAUUGCUGCAGAAUGAUUGGCUAGCGGGUAGGGAUGUGGAGAGUUUAGGGGCUUAGUGAAUGCAAGAGAUUGUGGUGAAAGAGUGUGUUUUGUCUGACUGGCAAGUCAGAUGGGACACUAGCGUGAAUGGGCGUGUCACUCAUCGGUUUAUACGAGAGGUUACAUUUGCCGGCAGCCGACCAGACUUUGGGUUCGGCCUGAGUCUUGGAUUCCUGUUGACUGGUCACGGUUCCCUCAAUGCAUUCCUGCAUUCGAGGAACCUUUAUGACAGUCCAGAAUGCCGUUGUGGCUCGGCUUGUGAGACAUGGGAGCAUGUUCUCUGUGAGUGCACAAGGUAUGCAGAUCUUCGAGAUCUGAGGGAAUGGGUAUAAGUGAGGUUAGUGGCGGGUUUGACGUAAGUCAAUCACUCUCCACUAGUGAUAGGGUUAGAAGAAUGAGUGAGUUUGCUAGAGCUGCAUUUUCCAGGCGACGUUUGCAAUUGAAUGAUGAGUGAUGAAUGAUACGAGGCCUGGCCAGAGGCUUUUAAUCUGGUACCACGGGUAACCAGGAGCCCACGGAACUUGUUGCGUCCUGGUUAGUUGGUGCGGCCCUUCGGGAGUAUCGUGGUGGGUGUGGUUUAACACCCAAAUGCGGGUAGAGCAUCGCUCGACGUGGAGUUGCGUCAUACAACCGGGUUCCGUGACCCAGAUUACGGAAGAGGCUUAGGUAGUCCUCGUGCCAAACCAAGGUAGAAGUCACAACCAAACAGUCGUGUCUUUAAUUGGUACCUGCGGAAUUGAUGUUCCAAGGGGGCGCUGAUUGACGCUUGAAUUAAUCCUAUACUAGGAACCGUGAGAUUAAGCCAUCGCGGCAGGUGCUCACGUUAAGCCCACUGACUUUCAUGUCCCUAUCUACUAUCUAGCGAAACCACAGCCAAGGGAACGGGCUUGGAAUAAUUAGCGGGGAAAGAAGACCCUUUUGAGUUUGACUCUAAUCUGGCAGUGUAAGGAGACAUAAGAGGUGUAGAAUAAGUGGGAGAUAUUAGACUUCGGUUUGGUAUCGACAAUGAAAUACCACUACUCUUAUGUUUCCUUACUUACUUGAUUCAAUCGAACGUGUAUCAUUUCCUAGCCAUUAUACGGAUAUAAUUUUUAUGUCAUAUGGUAUUGGGUUUUGAUGCAAGCUUCUUGAUCAAAGUAUCACGAGUUUGUUAUAUAAUCGCAAACAAAUUCUUUAAUGAGAGAAUGCAUUUAUGUAUUAUUGAUUUAAAAAUUUGGUAUAACUCCAAUUACUAGGUAUGAUCCAAUUCAAGGACAUUGCCAGGUAAGGAGUUUGACUGGGGCGGUACAUCUCUCAAAUAAUAACGGAGGUGUCCCAAGGCCAGCUCAUUGCGGACAGAAACCACACAUAGAGCAAAAGGGCAAAUGCUGACUUGAUCUCGGCGUUCAGUACACACAGGGACAGCAAAAGCUCGGUCUAUCGAUCCUUUUGGUUUAAAGAGUUUUUAACAAGAGGUGUCAGAAAAGUUACCAUAGGGAUAACUGGCUUGUGGCGGCCAAGCGUUCAUAGCGACGUCGCUUUUUGAUCCUUUGAUGUCGGCUCUUCCUAUCAUUGUGAAGCAAAAUUCACCAAGCGUUGGAUUGUUCACCCAUGCAAGGGAACGUGAGCUGGGUUUAGACCGUCGUGAGACAGGUUAGUUUUACCCUACUAAUGACAAAACGUUGUUGCGACAGCAUUCCUGCGUAGUACGAGAGGAACCGCAGGUACGGACCAAUGGCACAAUACUUGUUCGAGCGAACAGUGGUAUGACGCUACGUCAGUUGGAUUAUGCCUGAACGCCUCUAAGGUCGUAUCCGUGCUGGACCGCAAUGAUAAAUAGGGGGCAAUUUGCAUUGUAUGGCUUCUAAACCAUUAAAAGUUUUUAAUUUGUUUUAUUAACGACAAUGGAUGUGAUGCCAAUGUUAUUUAUAACAUAGUAAAUUGGGAGGAUCUUCGAUC
This 2799-nucleotide ribosomal RNA is filed under the name Drosophila virilis. Its description in RNAcentral is "eukaryotic LSU rRNA". The stretch from base 1645 to 2799 matches the Rfam family "Eukaryotic large subunit ribosomal RNA", at positions 1891 to 3289 of the family's 3401-position model. The record is from RNAcentral. Lineage: Eukaryota; Metazoa; Arthropoda; Insecta; Diptera; Drosophilidae.